RNAcentral lists this unclassified non-coding RNA (216 nucleotides) under Hevea brasiliensis (rubber tree). The record is from RNAcentral. Lineage: Eukaryota; Viridiplantae; Streptophyta; Magnoliopsida; Malpighiales; Euphorbiaceae.
UGAGGCCCUAGAGGCAUCCUACUCAUCAUCUGGUGAUAAACCGCCGCCGCCCUCGACAUAAUCAGCCCCGACUCCGACGACAACUCCUCCUUUGGCUCUCCUUUUGGCAUCAAAAACCUUCCGUCGACAUCCUGCCUCAGAAAAUGAGCAGGGGGGAGAGAUGGCAUCUUCAUUGGCACCAUCGAACUCAUUCCUCCCAUCCCAAUGCCAGCCAAG